This is a long non-coding RNA of Equus caballus (horse), 7905 nucleotides long. NCBI's taxonomy places the organism in Eukaryota, Metazoa, Chordata, Mammalia, Perissodactyla, Equidae. The record is from Ensembl.
GCUUUGGCAAAUGGAACAAGAAUGGAUGGAAUGUUUGUCAUGACUGAACAGAUUAUUUCAGAAGCAUUGCAAGUUUCCACUGGCCCUUUUGCUGUCCCAGAGAUCAGCUUCAACUUGGUUUUCAGAAUGAGAAGACAUGUAGAGCCCAGCACAGGCCAGCAGAGCUGCAGCUGACCCUCAGACCUAAGGAGCAAAAUGGAGGCGAGCGACUACGCAUGGUGAACAGUGGUACAGCUGUCGGUCUCCGCUGGGCAAGGAGAAGAAGUCUGAAAGAGCUCACUCCUAUGCAUGACUUUAUCAGGGGAACUUCCAAAAGACUUACAAGGAUCUAUCUCCUGCCUCACAGGUACCACCUGCAAUUGCUGGUCCAGGGUGCCCAUGCUAAUGAGGAUGAGUGACAGCCAGAUGGAAUCAUCACAGGAUGUAGUACACAAAGAUACUACAAGAGAAAAGAUGCAAGGAAACAGAGGUUGGGAGUGGGGAUGGUGACAAAUUAAAAAGCAUGACCAGAAACAUGACACCACAGACCAGGCAAAGAUUGGCAUCAAGUACAUCACUAUGAAUUCAUAAAAGGAAAUGAAGCUAUUGAUUUAUGAGACAAGAGUUUAAAAUUGGGUUAUAAGUGCCAAGAGAAGAUAAAAUGAUAUAAUCAGAGAUGAAACAAACCCUCAGAAAUAUGAAGGUAACUUUGGAAGCAGCAAAAGGAGAAUAGACAGUGCUGAGAACAGUAAGGAAUGUGGACGACAAGAGUGAGAAAUGAGAAAGUGAAAUGGAAAUAAAUAAGAGCUGGGAAAGAUUAGAGAUAAAUGAUAAAUAUGGAAGACAUAUUGAUAAGAUUCAGAGUUAAUAGGAGACUUGAAUCUAAAUUUUAAACCGCACAUCUUAUUCUAGGAAAAAAACUCACAUUAAAUUAUCAACACUGAGACAUACCCUAGUAAAGCUACCAAGUAUCAAAGAUAAAAAAAAUUUUUCUUUUUUUUUUUUUGAGGAAGAUUAGCCCUGAGCUAACUGCUGCAAUCCUCCUCUUUCUGCUGUGGAAGACUGGCCGUGAGCCUACAUCUGUGUCCAUCUUCCUCUACUUUAUUUGUGGGACACCUGCCACAGCAUGGCCUGUCAAGCGGUGCCACGUCUGCAACCGGGGUCGAACCGGUGAACCCCGGGCUGCCGAAGCAGAACGUCUGCACUUAACCGCUGCACCACCAGGCUGGCCCCGCCUUCUUUUUUUUUGAAGUACAGUUCACAUACAAUAUUAGUUUCGGGUGUACGACAUAGUGAUUCGACAUUUAUAUACAUUGUGAAAUGAUCACCAUGACCAUCUGUCACCAUACAACAUUAUUACGAUAUCAUUGACUAUAUUCCCCAUGCUGUACAUUACAUCCCCAUGACUUAUUUAUUUUAUAACUGGAAGUUUGUAUCUCUUAAUCCCUUUCACUUAUUUUGCCCAUCCCCCUACCCCCUUCUCUCUGACAACCACCAGUUUGUUUCCUGUAUCUAUGAAUUUGCUUCUGUUUUGUAUUGUUUGUUCAUUUGUUUUGUUUUUUAGAUUUCACAUAUAAAUGAAAUCAUAUGGUAUUUGUCUUUCUCUGUCUAACUUAUUUCACUUAGCAUAACACCCUCUAGGUCCAUCCAUAUUGUCACAAAUGGAAUGAUUUGAUUCUUUUUAAGGCUGAAUAACAUUCAAUCAUAUAUAUAUAUAUAUAUAUACCACAUCUUCUUUAUCCACCCAUCCAUUGAUGGAUGCUUAGGUUGUUUCCAUAUGUUGGCUGUUGUAUAUAAUGCUACAAUGAACAUAGGAGUAUAUACCUUUUUGAAUUAAUGUUUUCAUUUUCUUCAGAUAAAUGCCCAGAAGUGGAAUUGCUGGAUCAUAUGGUAAUUCUAUUUUUAAUUUUUUGAAGAACACUCCCACUCUUUUCCAUAGUGGCUGCAGCAGUUUACAUUCCCACCAACAGUGCAUGAGUGUUCCCUUUUCUCGACAUCCUCGCCAACACUUGUUAUUUCUUGUCUCUUUGGUAAAAGCCCUUCUGACAGGAGUGAGGUGAUACUUCACUGUGGAUUUCCUAACAAUAGAAACAUUAUACUCCUAACAAAAUUCAGAGGAAAGGGAGGCGAUAAAGAGGAAGGUAGUGUAGGUCGAGAGAGUUCCUUAUCUUCCAUAGCCAGGCAUCAAAGCUGAUAAACCGGCUUAUGUAAAUUUAUGUAAAUAUAUAAAUAUUAACAUUGACAAAAAUAAUACAAAUCAAUCCAAAUCAGCUAGUAGAGGAAAUAUUGGGGAGAGGAAGCGGGAAUUACCAAUUUCAACAUUAAUACAGUAAGGAGUCAAAGAAUGCUGAUCAAAGAAAUAGAGAUCUUAAAAAUGUAUUCUAUAUUCUUAUAAAAACAAACUACUAGAGAAACAAUUAAAAUCUCUCAUAUUAUUAGGAAAAAGAAAACACAGACCACAUAGUGAAAGAUAGAAAUUAAAGCAUCAAUAAAAACCAGAAAUAUAUCAUUAAUUACAACAAAAAUAAGAUCUGUCAUAUCCACUUCAAAAAAUUUACCCUACAAAUAUAUUCACAUAUAUGUGAAUGAUGUAUGUCCAAAGAUGUCUACUGCAGAGUUGUUUCUAAUAUCAGAAGACUGGGAACAAUUUAAAAGUCUAUUAAUAGCAAUUGAUUGAAUAAAUUAUAACACAUCCGUAAAAUGGAAUACUAUGAGCAGUCAAAAAGAUAGAGGCGGCUUCAAAAUCAUAUCAUUAGGUUUAAAAAUAAGGUAAAGAGUACACAACCAUUUGUAUGAAAGACCACAUGCACAUAGAACACAUGAAUCAGUGUAUGUGUGGAUGCAGGCAUAGACUGUCUCUGGAAGGACAGAGACAUGGGUAAAAACAGACGUCACCAGACAGGGAAAUUGGGUCUGUGGGGGAUGAAGGCAAGAAGAGUCAUUUUUCCCCAUAGACCCCUCUAUAACUCCUGAAUUGUGCAUGUAUAUAUAUUCUUUCUAGUCAAAACCAUAUAAAUUAAUUUAUAAAAGGCAAAAACAACUUUACCAGUUGGUUGAUGCUGUUGUGCAAGUGCCAGUUUAUCGUGGGUUGGGGACGAGAGGUGGUUUGACUCAGAAUAAUUCCCCGCCUAGAACGUCUCUGAGUAUCUACUUCGCUUGUGUGUCCCAUUAAGAGACAAGGUUUCAAUUUGCCUUGGAGCCACUUAGAGCUUGACUUCGACGGGACUUGAGCACAAUCAUCAUCUGAACUAGACAGAAAAGUACUGCUUCAAGAGAAGGGUAGAGACUGCCCGCCAUUUGUGGCAGGGCAAUGAGACACAGGCAACUGAGUGCAAUCAGAUGGAAGUUACAGUUACAAUGGUACGGAGGUAUGGGUGUCCACGGGCAUGCCAGGACAGCCUGCAAGGACAUCACCAAGUGCUCUUCAGUUUUUAACUUUCUCACUGAAUGUCCACUCCCAUUACGAGCACCCUCCCGCAUACGUCAUUUGAAGUGAGAAAACAGUUCGUGCUUUGCCUGCACUUUGUGGAGUUUCUCAGCUUUCUACGAAUAGAUUACAAUCUCUAGACCCAGGUCUGGGGACAGUUUACACAAGACUAGUCACACAGCAUGAUCUUCCACAAUUUGCUAUUUCAUGAGAAAAAGAAUCACAACGCCUGGGGAGAAAAAAGAAUUAUAAGGGCAGCCUCUCUCUUGAGAGUUGAAUUUGAUCCUGGAAGGGCAGCAAUUCAAUCUUUUAAAAGGCACAUCUCUGUUCUAAUCAAUCAAGCUUUCAUUUCCAAUGGCAAUAACCUUCCCGAGGCACUCAGGAAAUCAGAAACUAGAGCCUUGUCCCUGAAGAGACAAUAUGGUAUUUUCUACCAGGUUGAUUUGGGCUUACAAACCUAUCCAAGAUUUUGUCAGCAGGAAAUCUGAUGGUCCAAUAUAUCAUGAGAUGCCAACACCAUCUAUUAGCACAAAUCUGUCACAACAAAUGGAAAGAUGUAGUUUGCACCUGGGACUUAAGGAAUAGAGUUUCUGAAAAAUUUGAGAAGAAUCAGAGAUAAGCAAUAGCCUCCAGUAUGUUUUCCAACCUCUCACUGUGGGUUAUAUGGUUUUGUGACAGUUGUGUCCAAGGUUGACUAGAUAUUCUCGGCCACGGUGGUUCUGACCCUAGUUACUUAUGAUAGCAAGUAGCUUUGCAGACGUCGUUGGCCAAUAAAAGGCUCAGAAACCAUGGACAUGAUUCUAGUCCUCUGUUUUUUCCAUUAGCUAAGCUUUGUGUAAAGUGACAGGAAGAUUCAUAAAAUCUGGGUGACUCAAAUUUCAACAAAGCAAAAUUUCAAUUGAAUUCAAUGAAUUUCAAUGAAAUCAAUUUUCCAAAAGACUAGAAAAAUAAUACGUUAUGCAAAUACAUUCCAAGGGAUGAAUAGUCAAUAUUAUAUCAUGAUGGAGCUUGUAUCCUAACACACUGGUGUAUGGAUAGUUAACGGAUACGAAGUCACAAGGCCUGGCUUCAAGGCGCAGCACCCCCCACCCCACCACCUCAGUAAGAGGCGUGUGAGGGUUGGAAGCCAUUUGACUUUCUAAGCCUGCAAAACAGGGAUCAGCAAAGCUGGUCUGCCCUGCCUUGGGUGGGCUGGGAGGAGGGAAGGAAGUGGAGUUUGUGAUCAUGUUUUGCAUGUUACAAGUGAUGUUAUUACUAUUCGGGCAGUUCUCAACGGUAACAAUUCUGGGCUCUUCAUGAGUACUCUGCUUCUGGUAUGUUAUACGACAAGUUCCUAGUCGGAUCUAAAUCUUUAAAAAAACCCGCUUUAUUGGUAUGAUUGACAUACAAAAAGCUGUACAUAUUUAACGUACUGAACUUGAUGAGUUCAGAGAUAAGUAUACACCCAUGAAACCAUCGCCACGAUCUAGGCCAUAAACAUAUCUAUCCCCUCCAAAACUUUCCCGCUGCCCUCAUUAUUUAUUUAUUUGUGUGAUAAGAACACUUAGCAAAUUUUUAAGUACACAAUACAGUAUUGCUAACUGUGGGGCCUGUGCUGUUCAGUAGAACCCUAGGACUCGUUCAUCUCGUGUAACUGAAACUUCUUGAUCUAAUUCUUAAUUUAAAAUUUCCUGCCACUAUUAUCAUAAAACUUUUUAUGGCUUAAACAUUAACAGUGUUUUCAUAAAAUAAAGGUAAUAAUAUUGUAUUUCAUGACACUUUUAGAUUAGUACUGAUCAUUUCAUCAGACAUGCAAUUAUAAAAGUCACUUGUUACAACUACGCCUCUCUCUACUGCUUUUUUCCGAUUAAUAUACAUAAUUAUUCUAAAUCAGUAGAAUUGCUUAACACUCCUGUUAGCAUUUAUUUUCCAGAUAUGUAAUAGGACAAAUUUCAGCAGGGCCAUCCCUCUGAACUGCUUGACUGCAUGUGGAUAUAUUUCCAUUUUGCUACCAAGUCCUCAGACCAAGCAAACCAAAGCCUCAGGGCCUGAGCCAGGCCUGGGGGAGCCAGCGCAUCAGUGCAGGGACGCCACAGGACGAGUCUGCAAAUGAAUGAAGCAAAAAUCACCCUACUGCUGUGCUGGCAGUCACCCAAGACGCAUGCAGUAUGGAAAAAGAAUCCAUCCUGUGGCCAGAGCUGGAACUACCUGGAAAUCCUCCCUGCGUCCCUAAUGACUCGGGUUAAGACAGCCAGGUAGUAGUUGUUUUUAACUGCUCAGCACUCGAUGUGAGCCUUGGCACCCUAGGACACCUUUUAGCAGGUGAGAAAAGGCAGGGGACAGAUCCACAGUCAUUUAAAGGUUUCAACAAGUCAUUUAGCCAGAGUACUCAGAGUACUGUACUGAAGAAUGUCACAUCUGCCAGAGCACCAGUUUGUGGUUUUCAAACGGGACAAAUGGGUGUGGGCUGAAAGUGUGGCAUAACCACCCAGAAAGAACUGAAAUUGCCAAGCAGGAGGCAUAACCACACGCCCUGAUUAUAAUCUGUUGUCUGGCUGCUUCCUACAAUAUGAGUUCAUGUCAUUUACCCAUAAGAAAAUAAAGUUAUCCGUCCAAAAAUAAAGAAGGGCUUAAUGCAUUGCUUCAUUUAUCACUACCAGUCCGAUGGCUGCCUGAAAGGAGCUUUAGACAAGGAAGAGACCCCAGGGCCCCUGUCCUGCACGGUCACUGAUGAGAGCAAGUCUUUCCAAUGCUCUGGGCCUCGACAUCCUCAUUCAAAAAAUGGAAAUAACAACACCAGCUCCAUAUUCCUUGCAGAAUUGUGCUGAGGACGAAAACAACCAACCAAAAAGCACCCAUGAGCUCCUCGUGCUCCCAGGCGUAGACCCUGAAUGGGGCUUGCAAAGAGGUGAGAUAUAGUACCUGGCCUGGAGUAUUUCACAAAAGGUUUUGGAGGAGAUAGGACUAAAACCUGUGAAAUAAUAGUAAACCCUUGGGCAGUAUUUGCACAAGUACUCAGUUACAGGAUAUAACCUAUCAGACUUCACAAGCAAGGGAGGGUGUCCAUGGAGAGGCAAGAGCUGGCCUGGACAGUGAAGGAUGAAGAAAAUUUGGCUGGGCAAAGGAAGGACAGGCGUUCCUCCUGAGAGGCACUGCAUCAAUAGAGACCUGAAGGGAUCAAGGAGCAGGGUUAUUCAAGGGGCCAUGAAGUGACUGGCAAAAAGUUCAAGAAGAGUAGAGAAAUAAAACUGUAUAAGUAGGAUGAGACCAAAGUCAAGCAACAAUGAAACCAGGUGGAAGAGGUAGUCAGGAAGAAAGAGAAAUAGAGUUCCACAGGCUUUGAAGCAAUGGUGACCCAGUGCUCAAGGAAGAUUAGUCUAGCAAUUAGUGUGUAGGCUGGUCAGAGCUAGAUGGAAAGCAAUAUGGAAAAUCGUCUAUUACCCACUCUUAGUAGAGAUAAUAUAAAAAAACGGAGAGAUGAUGAAGCAUCAUAAAGGAAAAAACUGAAAAGCCUAGGUGACUGGAUACAGGGGACAGAGAUGAGUUAAAAGUUCAUUCAAGUUUUUGAGCCCUCCUGACUGCAGGAACGUCUGCCCUGUUUGAAAGACAAUGUAUGGCAGCCCCGGUGGCCUAGUGGUUAAGUUAAGCAUGCUCCACGUCAGCAUCCCGGAUUUGGUUCCCAGGUGCAGACAUACACCCCUCUGUUAGAAGCUGUGCUGCGCUGGUGGCCUGUGCGCUAGAAAACAGAGGAAGAUUGGUAAGAUUGCCCUGAGCUAACAUCAGUGCCAAUCUUCCUCAGGAAAAAAAAGACUGUAUACACGGAUACUAUUUUGUUUGCUUUACUGUUCUGGGGGAUCAUUUCAAGUCAUUGCUCCAUGAACAGCUAUUCAUUCUGUGGUUCUGUAAGUGGGGUCUUCUUGAUUCUUCCCAUCUUGGUUUAACAUCAACCCCUGCUCUCCAGUUUUGCAAUAAAUAUUCAGCAUUGUGUUAUUUUCAUUGUUUUUUUAACCUGUGGAUCUCUGAAGCUUGGAAGUAGAAUUUUUUGUAGAAUCCAUCAAUCCUUAUUUGAAUCAGUACACUAUUUUUAUGAAUUUUAGCUACCAGAUCUUACUGGCAAGAUACAAUUCCAACUCAGCACACUAGAUGGCAGACAAUCACUACUUUCUCUCCAUCCCAUUCCAAAAAAAAAAAAAAAUCCCAGUAUGGACAAACCAAGCAGGGGGCUCACACGUUUCUGUUCAUUCUCUAACCUCAUAUAAGUACACACGAACUUUUGUGCCUAACAUCCAUCUGCCUUCCACUGAAAAAGUGAGGGAAGGAUUCUCAGACUAUUGAGACCUAACUACACCUACUUUGCCUUUUUUGCGUUUUUUUGAAAUUUUUUGUUUGAUUGACUAUUUUGUUUCACCCAGGAAGGAAAUGGUGGAGGGCACAGAAUGGAAGUGGUAAUGCUGACAUUAUGAAGUGAGACUAUCCUGAUUAUAACGCGUUUCUUCUUUAUUUUCGCAGGGCAAGGUUGG